UCUAUGCUCGCUAUCCCAAGGUUCAUUGCGAUCCCAAGGUUCACUGCGGUUUUCCACAAGCCUGUUUCUGCCUAUCACCAUGAGUGAUUCCUUUAUACUCAGAUUUAUUAUCAAGAUCUCAAUUAUUAGCUCAAGUCUUGAUGACAACUUGAUGAUCUGCAGGAAGCACCACCAUGUAAGGAAGGCCAAGACCACUCUGGAAUCAGUCAAGGCUCAUAGGAACUCCAAUCUUCCCAACUGUGAGAGGGCCUUGCUCCAGUGACUGAUUGCAGUGACCAGACAUGCUACUGUAACUCUCAUGGUCAUGUGCUGGAAUUAGCAGAUAUUCAACAAUUUGGCCAUCUCGCUGACCUAUUGAUAUCAGAAGACCGCAGCAGCUCUGCAAAGCAAGUUGCAAAACAGAAUCCAUGAAACUGGCAGUGACUGGAAACCAAUUGGAAGACUUUGGUCUGUGAUGUAGAGAAGUGGGCAGAGGGUGAGGAAAUUCUUAUUAAUAUUACAUGUAGUCAUGAAAAAUUAUAACCGUUACUAUUAUUGUCAUUUUUUCAGUAGCAGAAGCAAAGACAACAAAAAACAGAAGUGAUAUGGAUGUCUUCGUCAUA
This is a non-coding RNA of Danio rerio (zebrafish), 602 nucleotides long. NCBI's taxonomy places the organism in Eukaryota, Metazoa, Chordata, Actinopteri, Cypriniformes, Danionidae. The record is from Ensembl.